This 71-nucleotide transfer RNA is filed under the name Ziphius cavirostris (Cuvier's beaked whale). RNAcentral's name for it is "tRNA-Thr". The record is from RNAcentral. Lineage: Eukaryota; Metazoa; Chordata; Mammalia; Artiodactyla; Ziphiidae.
GUCUUUGUAGUAUAACAAAAUACCCCGGCUUUGUAAACCGAAAAUGGAGAAAACCACACCUCCCUAAGACU